GGUUAAGCUACUAAGAGCACACGGAGGAUGCCUAGGCGCUAGGAGCCGAUGAAGGACGUGGCGAACAACGAAACUGCCUCGGGGAGCUGUAAGCAAGCUUUGAUCCGGGGGUGUCCGAAUGGGGAAACCCAGCUGGGGUAAUUUCCAGUUACUCAUAACUGAAUACAUAGGUUAUGUAGAGGCAUACCAGGGGAACUGAAACAUCUAAGUACCUUGAGGAAGAGAAAACAAUAGUGAUUCCGUCAGUAGCGGCGAGCGAACGCGGAGAAGCCCAAACCAGAGAGCUUGCUCUUUGGGGUUGUGGGACAUCUCACAUGGAGUUACAAAGGAACCGGUUAAACGAAGAGGUCUGGAAAGGCCCGCCAAAGAAGGUAAAAGCCCUGUACUUGAAAGUCUGUUCUCUCCGAGAUGUAUCCCGAGUAGUGCGGGGCACGUGAAACCCCGUAUGAAUCCGGCAGGACCAUCUGCCAAGGCUAAAUACUUCCUAGCGACCGAUAGUGAAGCAGUACCGUGAGGGAAAGGUGAAAAGCACCCCGGAAGGGGAGUGAAAUAGAACCUGAAACCGUGUGCUUACAAAAAGUCAGAGCCCGUUUUAGGGGUGAUGGCGUGCCUUUUGUAGAAUGAACCGGCGAGUUACGUUCCCGUGCAAGGUUAAGGUGAAGAGCCGGAGCCGCAGCGAAAGCGAGUCUGAAUAGGGCGAAUUAGUACGUGGACGUAGACCCGAAACCGGGUGAUCUACCCCUGUCCAGGGUGAAGGUGCGGUAACACGCACUGGAGGCCCGAACCCACGCACGUUGAAAAGUGCGGGGAUGAGGUGGGGGUAGCGGAGAAAUUCCAAUCGAACUCGGAGAUAGCUGGUUCUCCCCGAAAUAGCUUUAGGGCUAGCCUCGGAAAACAGAGUCGUGGAGGUAGAGCACUGAUUGGGUGCGGGGCCCGCAAGGGUUACCAAGCUCAGUCAAACUCCGAAUGCCAUAGACUUACUUCCGGGAGUCAGACAGUGAGUGCUAAGAUCCAUUGUCAAAAGGGAAACAGCCCAGACCAUCAGCUAAGGUCCCCAAGUGUGUGUUAAGUGGGAAAGGAUGUGGAGUUGCACAGACAACCAGGAUGUUGGCUUAGAAGCAGCCACCAUUGAAAGAGUGCGUAAUAGCUCACUGGUCGAGUGACUCUGCGCCGAAAAUGUAACGGGGCUAAACACACCACCGAAGCUAUGGCUUGAUGCUUUGCAUCAGGGGUAGGGGAGCGUUGUAUAAGGGUUGAAGGUGUACCGUAAGGAGCGCUGGACAUUAUACAAGUGAGAAUGCCGGUAUGAGUAACGAAAAGAUCAGUGAGAAUCUGAUCCGCCGAAAG
This 1347-nucleotide ribosomal RNA is filed under the name Paenibacillus taichungensis. Its description in RNAcentral is "partial 23S ribosomal RNA". It matches the Rfam family "Bacterial large subunit ribosomal RNA", at positions 1 to 1343 of the family's 2925-position model. Lineage: Bacteria; Bacillati; Bacillota; Bacilli; Caryophanales; Paenibacillaceae. The record is from RNAcentral.